CCUACGGGCGGCAGCAGUGGGGAAUAUUGCACAAUGGGGGAAACCCUGAUGCAGCGACGCCGCGUGAGCGAUGAAGUAUUUCGGUAUGUAAAGCUCUAUCAGCAGGGAAGAAAAUGACGGUAACUUACUAAGAAGCCCCGGCUAACUACGUGCCCGCAGCCGCGGUAAUACGUAGGGGGCAAGCGUUAUCCGGAUUUACUGGGUGUAAAGGGAGCGUAGACGGUCCUGCAAGCCAGAGGGGAAAGCCCGGGGCUAAACCCCGGGACUGCAUUUGGAACUGUAAGGCUGGAGGGUCGGAGGGGCAGGCGGAAGUCCUGGUGUAGCGGUGAAAUGCGGAGAUAUUAGGAGGAACACCAGUGGCGAAGGCGGCCUGCGGGACGAUGACUGACGUUGAGGCUCGAAAGCGUGGGGAGCAAACAGGAUUAGAUACCCUAGUAGGC
Molecule: ribosomal RNA, 440 nt
Filed under: uncultured bacterium
Lineage: Bacteria
Description: partial 16S ribosomal RNA
Rfam family: Bacterial small subunit ribosomal RNA
Source: RNAcentral